UUGGGAAUCUUGCACAAUGGGGGAAACCCUGAUGCAGCGACGCCGCGUGGAGGAUGACGGCCCUAGGGUUGUAAACUCCUUUUUCAGGGAAAGACUUAGGACGGUACCCUGAGAAUAAGCUCCGGCUAACUACGUGCCAGCAGCCGCGGUAAGACGUAGGGAGCAAGCGUUGUCCGGAUUUACUGGGCGUAAAGAGCACGUAGGCGGCUUGUUAAGUGAGAGGUGAAAUCCCCAGCGCUCAACGCGGGAACUGCCUCUCAUACUGGCAGGCUUGAGGGAUGUAGAGGUGACUAGAAUUCCAGGUGUAGCGGUGACAUGCAUUGAUAUCUGGAGGAAUACCCGAGGCGAAGGCGGGUCACUGGACAUUUCCUGACGCUGAGGUGCGAAAGCGUGGGUAGCA
This 400-nucleotide ribosomal RNA is filed under the name uncultured bacterium. Its description in RNAcentral is "bacterial SSU rRNA". It matches the Rfam family "Bacterial small subunit ribosomal RNA", at positions 355 to 770 of the family's 1533-position model. The record is from RNAcentral.